CAGAGGGGCAAGCGUUGUUCGGAAUUACUGGGCGUAAAGGGCGCGUAGGCGGCCUGUUAAGUCGAACGUGAAAUCCCCGGGCUCAACCCGGGAACUGCGUCCGAUACUGGCAGGCUUGAAUCCGGGAGAGGGAUGCGGAAUUCCAGGUGUAGCGGUGAAAUGCGUAGAUAUCUGGAGGAACACCGGUGGCGAAGGCGGCAUCCUGGACCGGCAUUGACGCUGAGGCGCGAAAGCCAGGGGAGCAAACGGGAUUAGAUACCCCGGUAGUCCUGGCCCUAAACGAUGAAUGCUUGGUGUGGCGGGUAUCGAUCCCCGCCGUGCCGAAGCUAACGCAUUAAGCAUUCCGCCUGGGGAGUACGGUCGCAAGGCUG
Molecule: ribosomal RNA, 371 nt
Filed under: uncultured organism
Description: bacterial SSU rRNA
Rfam family: Bacterial small subunit ribosomal RNA
Source: RNAcentral